This 240-nucleotide unclassified non-coding RNA is filed under the name soil metagenome. Its description in RNAcentral is "partial contains 5.8S ribosomal RNA, internal transcribed spacer 2, and large subunit ribosomal RNA". The record is from RNAcentral.
AACGAGGCCGACCUGCGGCUGAGUUACCUGCGGAAGGAUCAUUACCACAUUUACAUGCGUCCAGCCCGGCGCGCCGGUCCCAGACCGGGGCGCCGGGCGGAUCGUGACCCUUGAUUUACCAGCACCCAUCCUUCGUUCCCUCGGCGGGGUGACCCGCCGGAGGACCAACCACGAACCCUCUUUUGCAAUCUCAGAAGUCACGUUCGAAAACAAACAAAACAGUCACAACUUUUAGCAACG